RNAcentral lists this transfer RNA (66 nucleotides) under Dipodomys ordii (Ord's kangaroo rat). It matches the Rfam family "tRNA". From Rfam's summary of the family: Transfer RNA (tRNA) molecules are approximately 80 nucleotides in length. Their secondary structure includes four short double-helical elements and three loops (D, anti-codon, and T loops). The record is from Rfam by way of RNAcentral. Lineage: Eukaryota; Metazoa; Chordata; Mammalia; Rodentia; Heteromyidae.
GCUGGGAAGCUCAGUGGUAGAGCGCUUGCCUUUCAUGCAUGAGACCCCGGGUUCGAUUCCUCAGCA